UACGAGUGCCCCGAGCGUUAUCCGGAAUUAUUGGGCGUAAAGGGUGUGUAGGUGGUUGUGUUAGUCGUCUGUUAAAACCCGGGGCUCAACUCCGGAUCGGCGAACGAAACGGCACAACUAGAGGAUGGCAGGGAUGUAUGGAACUCAUGGAGUAGGGGUGAAAUCCGUUGAUAUCAUGGGGAACACCAAAAGCGAAGGCAGUACAUUGGGCCACUCCUGACACUGAAACACGAAAGCGUGGGUAGCGAAUGGG
RNAcentral lists this ribosomal RNA (253 nucleotides) under uncultured bacterium. RNAcentral describes it as "partial 16S ribosomal RNA". It matches the Rfam family "Bacterial small subunit ribosomal RNA", at positions 524 to 776 of the family's 1533-position model. The record is from RNAcentral.